AACGAACGCUGGCGGCAGGCCUAACACAUGCAAGUCGAACGCCGUAGCAAUACGGAGUGGCAGACGGGUGAGUAACACGUGGGAACGUACCCUUCGGUUCGGGAUAACUCAGGGAAACUUGAGCUAAUACCGGAUACGUCCGAGAGGAGAAAGAUUUAUUGCCGAGGGAUCGGCCCGCGUCUGAUUAGCUUGUUGGUGAGGUAACGGCUCACCAAGGCGACGAUCAGUAGCUGGUCNGAGAGGAUGAUCAGCCACAUUGGGACUGAGACACGGCCCAAACUCCUACGGGAGGCAGCAGUGGGGAAUAUUGGACAAUGGGCGCAAGCCUGAUCCAGCCAUGCCGCGUGAGUGAUGAAGCCC
This 360-nucleotide ribosomal RNA is filed under the name uncultured bacterium. RNAcentral's name for it is "bacterial SSU rRNA". It matches the Rfam family "Bacterial small subunit ribosomal RNA", at positions 29 to 416 of the family's 1533-position model. The record is from RNAcentral.